UGAAAAAUUAGAACCGUGAUUGCAAAAAGACAUUUCAGAGAAGUUUUUUUUUCUAGUUGUGACCAGAGACAGAUGUGAGAGCGCCUCCAGUGAAAACGAGUGCAGAUGCUGAGAGCGUGAGCUUUAUUAAUUGGGUGAUCUUCAAUGCUGUUGGACGGCUGGAGCUCGACGGCCCUUUUCAGAAAAGAUGUGCGAAUAUGAGACCUCUGGGGAAAUAUGAUCUGAACGAAAGCAAUGCUGUAUAUGGCUCUGACGGAGUCGCUGUCACUGGAACAGACCACAAAUCGAGGAAACCAUAUGCUGGGAUGUGCCAAGAGCUCAUGAUAGGCCAUUGACGGAUGUGCCUACACAAACAAGCGAGGAAACAAGCCAACCGGCGUGCCAAUGAUUCAGCCUGUCGAAGGGAAUGGCCGCCACCAUGUCUAUAAGGAACCAGCCUUUGAAGUAAUGGAUGGCGAUCUUCCCCGGAUCGCUCACCACCUCCUCGUUCAAGUUCACGAAGGCAGCAGAAUAAGGGGUUAAAAUGGCUGUAUAAAUAACCAGCAGCAGGAUGAGCCAAUCCCACAUUGCUUUGAAUGGG
Non-coding RNA from Pimephales promelas (fathead minnow), 580 nucleotides. Lineage: Eukaryota; Metazoa; Chordata; Actinopteri; Cypriniformes; Leuciscidae. The record is from RefSeq and is a predicted model, not a curated record.